UACGGAGGGUCCGAGCGUUAUCCGGAUUUAUUGGGUUUAAAGGGUGCGUAGGCGGGAUGUCAAGUCAGCGGUGAAAUCUUCUAGCUCAACUAGAAAACUGCCGUUGAAACUGAUAUUCUUGAGUGUAAACGAGGUAAGCGGAAUGUGUCAUGUAGCGGUGAAAUGCUUAGAGAUGACACAGAACACCAAUUGCGAAGGCAGCUUACUAGGAUACAACUGACGCUGAGGCACGAAAGCGUGGGUAUCGAACAGG
This 253-nucleotide ribosomal RNA is filed under the name uncultured bacterium. RNAcentral describes it as "partial 16S ribosomal RNA". It matches the Rfam family "Bacterial small subunit ribosomal RNA", at positions 524 to 776 of the family's 1533-position model. The record is from RNAcentral.